Molecule: ribosomal RNA, 253 nt
Filed under: uncultured bacterium
Lineage: Bacteria
Description: partial 16S ribosomal RNA
Rfam family: Bacterial small subunit ribosomal RNA
Source: RNAcentral
UACGUAGGGGGCAAGCGUUGUCCGGAAUCAUUGGGCGUAAAGAGCGUGUAGGCGGCCAGAUAAGUCCGCUGUGAAAUCUCGAGGCUCAACUUCGAGCUGUCGGUGGAAACUGUCUGGCUAGAGUCCGGAAGAGGAGAAUGGAAUUCCUGGUGUAGCGGUGAAAUGCGUAGAUAUCAGUCGGAACACCGGUGGCGAAGGCGGCUUCUUGGGCCGUUCCUGACGCUGAGGCGCGAAAGCCAGGGGAGCGAACGGG